Molecule: ribosomal RNA, 252 nt
Filed under: uncultured bacterium
Lineage: Bacteria
Description: partial 16S ribosomal RNA
Rfam family: Bacterial small subunit ribosomal RNA
Source: RNAcentral
UACGGAGGAUGCGAACGUUAUCCGGAUUUAUUGGGUUUAAAGGGUGCGUAGGCGGAUCGUUAAGUCAGUGGUCAAAUUGAGGGGCUCAACCCCUUCCCGCCAUUGAAACUGGCGAUCUUGAGUGGAAGAGAAGUAUGCGGAAUGCGUGGUGUAGCGGUGAAAUGCAUAGAUAUCACGCAGAACCCCGAUUGCGAAGGCAGCAUGCCGGCUUCCUACUGACGCUGAAGCACGAAAGCGUGGGGAUCGAACAGG